Molecule: non-coding RNA, 72 nt
Organism: Phrynosoma platyrhinos (Desert horned lizard)
Lineage: Eukaryota; Metazoa; Chordata; Lepidosauria; Squamata; Phrynosomatidae
Source: the annotation of a GenBank genome assembly
ACCAGAGUUGUGUAGUGGUUUGAGUGUUGGACUAUGACUCUGGAGACCAGGGUUCGAAUCCCUGAUUGGCCA